AGAGGCAGGUGGAUCUCUGUGAGUUCGAGGCCAGCCUGGUCUACAGAGUGAGUUCCAGGACAGCCUCCAAAGCCACAGAGAAACCCUGUCUCGAG
This is a microRNA precursor of Mesocricetus auratus (golden hamster), 95 nucleotides long. Lineage: Eukaryota; Metazoa; Chordata; Mammalia; Rodentia; Cricetidae. The record is from Ensembl.